GCCGGUCUAACAGCACACUGCUGUCUGUUUGCCUAAAGGCAGAAUGAGCCCUCAGUGCAGUCUUCCCUCAAUCUCUUCUGCUGUCAUGUGAAACCCCUGUAAGACUUGUAGCAGACUGGAUGUGUUAAAGAAGCCUCCCCAAAGUGCAGGUGUGGAUUGUCUAUGUGUGUGUCAGCCCUGUGAUUAACUGGCCACCAGUCCAGCAUGUGCCACCCCUCUCACCCAAUGUCAGCUGGGAUCAGCAGCAGCCCCCCUACGCAACCCUCUAAAGGAUAAGAAGGCAGGGCGCGAACUACAGGGGAGCCACGGGGAGCCCGGCUCCUCUUAAUGAGCCAUGAGCUCCCCUGAAAACAUCAUUUGUGAAAUGUUGAUGUAUGAUUAGUGCAGGAGGAUGAUUCAUCGCUAAUUCACUUUAAUAAAGAUACUGAUGUGCUUGCCAUUACCAUUACCAUUGAACAAUAUAGUUAACUUCAGAUCAGAAAAUAUAAAUAAAAUACACUUUCCUAGUCCCAGUCAGUCUGUGCAUCAACUCGCCAUUAUUCGUUUAUUUCUCUGCUUUGUAGUGAGCAUACUGUGCGUCACGGUCAGUGGGAGUGAUUUGUGAAUUUGUUGAGGUCUAAAAUAAUCACAGUGCUCAGCCCUACAGGAUCUCCUAGAAAUACUUUGAUUAAAAAGUUUUCCAUUGCUUUAGGGAAACUGGUACCAUUAAUUCUUCAUUAAUAAAAGGUAUGUGAAUGAAGAAUGUAUUUAAGGAUGCCAGCAAGUAGCAGACUGUUGCAGACUGUGUCAAGCACUGCUCUGAAUAGCUUGUGAACAGAGCUGAUUUCAACACUCACUGUAACACUGAUUGGUUUUUAAGAAGCGCCUGGCAGAUUCAUUAUUGACUGAAUGACCUUCACAAGCACAACUCUGCUCAAAAAGAACAUUUUGGGGUUCAAAAAUACAUGAAUGGUCAGGGGAUACAUUCCAAUACCUGUCCUCCUGUAGACUCUGAAUCUGGCUCACCUUGCACUCCCUCCUGAGAGCGUACCUAAAAUCUAUAGCAACUCCCUCUAAAAAUAUGCAGCUGGAAUACCCAGAAUCUAAAAACUGUCUUUAGAUUUUACAGUGAAAAACUGCCAAACCAUGGCAGUAGAUAAAAGACUCUCAACUUAAAUAGGUUCAUUGUAGUUUCUGUAACAGUAAAACAC
Dicentrarchus labrax (European seabass) is the source of this 1190-nucleotide long non-coding RNA. RefSeq lists it as uncharacterized. The record is from RefSeq and is a predicted model, not a curated record. NCBI's taxonomy places the organism in Eukaryota, Metazoa, Chordata, Actinopteri, Moronidae. The transcript has 3 exons.